RNAcentral lists this ribosomal RNA (467 nucleotides) under uncultured bacterium. RNAcentral's name for it is "partial 16S ribosomal RNA". It matches the Rfam family "Bacterial small subunit ribosomal RNA", at positions 29 to 507 of the family's 1533-position model. The record is from RNAcentral.
ACGAACGCUGGCGGCGUGCUUAACACCUGCAGGUCGAACGGAAAGGCCCUGCUUUUGUGGGGUGCUCGAGUGGCGAACGGGUGAGUAACACGUGAGUAACCUGCCCUUGACUUUGGGAUAAUUUCAGGAAACUGGGGCUAAUACCGGAUAGGAGCUCCUGCUGCAUGGUGGGGGUUGGAAAGUUUCGGCGGUUGGGGAUGGACUCGCGGCUUAUCAGCUUGUUGGUGGGGUAGUGGCUUACCAAGGCUUUGACGGGUAGCCGGCCUGAGAGGGUGACCGGCCACAUUGGGACUGAGAUACGGCCCAGACUCCUACGGGAGGCAGCAGUGGGGAAUAUUGCACAAUGGGCGGAAGCCUGAUGCAGCAACGCCGCGUGCGGGAUGACGGCCUUCGGGUUGUAAACCGCUUUCGCCUGUGACGAAGCGUGAGUGACGGUAAUGGGUAAAGAAGCACCGGCUAACUACGUG